RNAcentral lists this ribosomal RNA (508 nucleotides) under uncultured bacterium. Its description in RNAcentral is "bacterial SSU rRNA". It matches the Rfam family "Bacterial small subunit ribosomal RNA", at positions 20 to 518 of the family's 1533-position model. The record is from RNAcentral.
CUGGUCAGGAUGAACGCUAGCUACAGGCUAACACAUGCAAGUCGAGGGGCAGCAUUGGGGUAGCAAUACUCAGAUGGCGACCGGCGCACGGGUGAGUAACACGUAUCCAACCUGCCGCUUACUCGGGGAUAGCCUUUCGAAAGAAAGAUUAAUACCCGAUGGUAUAAAGAGUUCGCAUGUUCUCUUUAUUAAAGAAUUUCGGUAAGCGAUGGGGAUGCGUUCCAUUAGAUUGUUGGCGGGGUAACGGCCCACCAAGUCUACGAUGGAUAGGGGUUCUGAGAGGAAGGUCCCCCACAUUGGAACUGAGACACGGUCCAAACUCCUACGGGAGGCAGCAGUGAGGAAUAUUGGUCAAUGGACGAGAGUCUGAACCAGCCAAGUUAAGCGCGAAGGAUGACUGCCCUAGUGGGUUAGUAAACUUCUUUUAUAAGGGAAUAAAGUGAGGGACGUGUCCCUUUUUGUAUGUACCUUAUGAAUAAGGAUCGGCUAACUCCGUGCCAGCCGCCGC